GGGCCCGUAGUCUAGUGGCUAUGACGUCGCUUUGACGUAGCGAAGGUCACCAGUUCGAAUCUGGUCGGGCCCA
RNAcentral lists this transfer RNA (73 nucleotides) under Candidatus Woesearchaeota archaeon. Its description in RNAcentral is "tRNA-Val". It matches the Rfam family "tRNA". Rfam says of the family: Transfer RNA (tRNA) molecules are approximately 80 nucleotides in length. Their secondary structure includes four short double-helical elements and three loops (D, anti-codon, and T loops). Lineage: Archaea; Nanobdellati; Candidatus Woesearchaeota. The record is from RNAcentral.